GACCCACAUGUUUUAAAUUGGCACUGGUAAGGCAAAUGGAAAGGUGAAUAGAACAGCUGAACUGAAGAAGCAAACCCAGGAGCUUUAUGAAAGCAUGUGAAGUGGCUAUCAAAUUACCCCUGUCUUAUGCUUGGAAACAGACAGGACAGCUUUAUCCUCUUCUUGUGGUUUUGUCUGGAUGAUGAUGAUGAUUUUUGUGAGCCUGAUCUAAAGCAGCCAAUACAAAAUAAAUUGUCGUGUAUACCUC
Molecule: non-coding RNA, 247 nt
Organism: Lonchura striata (white-rumped munia)
Lineage: Eukaryota; Metazoa; Chordata; Aves; Passeriformes; Estrildidae
Source: RefSeq, a predicted model, not a curated record